RNAcentral lists this ribosomal RNA (926 nucleotides) under uncultured bacterium. RNAcentral's name for it is "bacterial SSU rRNA". It matches the Rfam family "Bacterial small subunit ribosomal RNA", at positions 33 to 949 of the family's 1533-position model. The record is from RNAcentral.
ACGCUAGCUACAGGCUUAACACAUGCAAAGUCGAGGGGAAACGGCAUUGAGUGCUUGCACUCUUUGGACGUCGACCGGCGCACGGGUGAGUAACGCGUAUCCAACCUUCCCAUUACUGUGGGAUAACCUGCCGAAAGGCAGACUAAUACCGCAUAGUCUUCGAUGACGGCAUCAGAUUUGAAGUAAGGAUUUAUCGGUAAUGGAUGGGGAUGCGUCUGAUUAGCUUGUUGGCGGGGUAACGGCCCACCAAGGCAACGAUCAGUAGGGGUUCUGAGAGGAAGGUCCCCCACAUUGGAACUGAGACACGGUCCAAACUCCUACGGGAGGCAGCAGUGAGGAAUAUUGGUCAAUGGACGGAAGUCUGAACCAGCCAAGUAGCGUGCAGGAUGACGGCCCUAUGGGUUGUAAACUGCUUUUGUAUGGGGAUAAAGUUAGGGACGUGUCCCUAUUUGCAGGUACCAUACGAAUAAGGACCGGCUAAUUCCGUGCCAGCAGCCGCGGUAAUACGGAAGGUCCAGGCGUUAUCCGGAUUUAUUGGGUUUAAAGGGAGCGUAGGCUGGAGAUUAAGUGUGUUGUGAAAUGUAGACGCUCAACGUCUGAAUUGCAGCGCAUACUGGUUUCCUUGAGUACGCACAACGUUGGCGGAAUUCGUCGUGUAGCGGUGAAAUGCUUAGAUAUGACGAAGAACUCCGAUUGCGAAGGCAGCUGACGGGAGCGCAACUGACGCUUAAGCUCGAAGGUGCGGGUAUCAAACAGGAUUAGAUACCCUGGUAGUCCGCACAGUAAACGAUGGAUGCCCGCUGUUGGUACCUGGUAUCAGCGGCUAAGCGAAAGCAUUAAGCAUCCCACCUGGGGAGUACGCCGGCAACGGUGAAACUCAAAGGAAUUGACGGGGGCCCGCACAAGCGGAGGAACAUGUGGUUUAA